This 299-nucleotide unclassified non-coding RNA is filed under the name uncultured Athelopsis. RNAcentral's name for it is "partial contains 5.8S ribosomal RNA, internal transcribed spacer 2, and large subunit ribosomal RNA". The stretch from base 1 to 52 matches the Rfam family "5.8S ribosomal RNA", at positions 103 to 154 of the family's 154-position model. The record is from RNAcentral. Lineage: Eukaryota; Fungi; Basidiomycota; Agaricomycetes; Corticiales; Corticiaceae.
AACGCACCUUGCGCCCUCUGGUAUUCCGGAGGGUAUGCCUGUUUGAGUGUCUUGAUAUCAUCAAACCCCUCGGGUUCGCGCCCGUCGCGGUUUGGAGUUGGGGGUUGCUGCCGCGAGGCGGCUCCCCUUAAAAUCAUCGGUUUGGCCCGCAUCAUGCGGCUUGCACCUUUGGCGUUGUAUUUUCCUCGCCUUCAAUCGGUCUCGCUCGCUUCCGUGCCUCACUUCGACUUGCCCUUUGGGUGGCGGUCACUUCUUGACAAUCUGGCCUCAAAUCAGGUAGGACUACCCGCUGAACUUAA